GAUGAACGCUGGCGGCGUGCCUAAUACAUGCAAGUAGAACGCUGAAGCUUGGUGCUUGCACCGAGCGGAUGAGUUGCGAACGGGUGAGUAACGCGUAGGUAACCUGCCUCUUAGCGGGGGAUAACUAUUGGAAACGAUAGCUAAUACCGCAUAAAAGUCGAUAUCGCAUGAUAUUGAUUUGAAAGGUGCAAAUGCAUCACUAAGAGAUGGACCUGCGUUGUAUUAGCUAGUUGGUGAGGUAACGGCUCACCAAGGCGACGAUACAUAGCCGACCUGAGAGGGUGAUCGGCCACACUGGGACUGAGACACGGCCCAGACUCCUACGGGAGGCAGCAGUAGGGAAUCGUCGGCAAUGGGGGCAACCCUGACCGAGCAACGCCGAGUAAGUGAAGAAGGUUUUCGGAUCGUAAAGCUCUGUUGUAAGAGAAGAACGAGUGUGAGAGUGGAAAGUUCACACUGUGACGGUAACUUACCAGAAAGGGACGGCUAACUACGUG
This 497-nucleotide ribosomal RNA is filed under the name uncultured bacterium. Its description in RNAcentral is "partial 16S ribosomal RNA". It matches the Rfam family "Bacterial small subunit ribosomal RNA", at positions 28 to 507 of the family's 1533-position model. The record is from RNAcentral.